CCUACGGGAGGCAGCAGUGAGGAAUAUUGGUCAAUGGACGAGAGUCUGAACCAGCCAAGUCGCGUGAGGGAUGACUGCCCUAUGGGUUGUAAACUUCUUUUGUAUGGGAGUAAAAUAUUCCACGUGUGGGGUUUUGUGUGUACCCUAUGAAUAAGCAUCGGCUAACUCCGUGCCAGCAGCCGCGGUAAUACGGAGGAUCCGAGCGUUAUCCGGAUUUAUUUGGUUUAAAGGGUGCGUAGGUGGAAUGUUAAGUCAGUCGUAAAAGUUGGGGGCUCAACCGUAAAAGUGCAGUUGAAACUGGUAGUCUUGAGUACAGGAGAGGUGGGCGGAAUGCGUGGUGUAGCGGUGAAAUGCUUAGAUAUCACGAAGAACUCCGAUUGCGAAGGCAGCUUACUGGAGCGCAACUGACACUGAUGCACGAAAGUGUGGGUAUCAAACAGGAUUAGAUACCCUUGUAGUC
Molecule: ribosomal RNA, 460 nt
Filed under: uncultured bacterium
Lineage: Bacteria
Description: partial 16S ribosomal RNA
Rfam family: Bacterial small subunit ribosomal RNA
Source: RNAcentral